RNAcentral lists this ribosomal RNA (253 nucleotides) under uncultured bacterium. Its description in RNAcentral is "partial 16S ribosomal RNA". It matches the Rfam family "Bacterial small subunit ribosomal RNA", at positions 524 to 776 of the family's 1533-position model. The record is from RNAcentral.
UACGGAGGGUGCAAGCGUUGUUCGGAUUCAUUGGGCGUAAAGCGAGUGUAGGCGGAUUGACAAGUCGGAUGUGAAAUCCCGGGGCCCAACCCCGGAACUGCACCCGAUACUGUCUGGCUAGAGUCCCGGAGAGGGUGGCGGAAUUCCCGGUGUAGGGGUGAAAUCCGUAGAUAUCGGGAGGAACACCAGUGGCGAAGGCGGCCACCUGGACGGUGACUGAAGCUGAGAUUCGAAAGCGUGGGUAGCAAACAGG